This is a non-coding RNA of Brachypodium distachyon (stiff brome), 135 nucleotides long. Lineage: Eukaryota; Viridiplantae; Streptophyta; Magnoliopsida; Poales; Poaceae. The record is from Rfam.
UUUAUACUCCCUCUUCCAACAAAAAAUGUCUCAACUUUGACUAAAUUUGAAUGUAUCUAUACACUAAGUUAUGCCUACAUACAUUCAAAUUUUGACAAACUUGAGACAUCUUUUAUUGGAGGAAGGGAGUAUGAA